AGGCGUCUAGAUGACUACUAAGCCAGGAGCAGACAGCUACUUGUUCAUAUGGUACAACUGUAUAGAUAUGUUGGUAAUUUUUUUACCUUGAAAGAAUAUGUUGUAUCUCCAGUAUGUCUGUUUGCAUUAUAUAUCGGUUCACUGAAACUUCUGAUGCACGGAGAGCUCUGCAAUGUAAAGUACUUUCAGUAGUGUACUCCUCUCAAAUUCUGAACCCCCUAUGGAGGUGUACAAGUUGAUUAAAUGGUAUUUUUCAACAGUUGGAAAUAUGUUCUGUCAAUCUAUAAAAGUUUAUAUUUUGCUGCAUCAAACUAGUACCUUCCACUAGAUGACUGCAUUCUGCACCUAUUUUCACCUGUUUUUGAAAUAUGCAGUGCCUACUCAAGUGACUUGCUGCAUCUUAUAGUUUGGCUGCAUCCAUGCCUUUUAGCAAUGGGAGACACAAAGUAGUAGUCCACUAGUCCCAGGUCCCAGCAUCUCAAGCUCCAGUUGCACACACAUCUACAGAGAUAAAAGGAAGACCCUCAAAAGUUUGGAUCUCACGAAUGUAAUUGUUCAUACUGACUGGUCUGUCAAUCAUUACAGGUCAACCUUUCUCAAAGGAUGCCUCGCACCUUUCCCUGCAGGUUUUCCUGGGCUGCCUUUUCUGGUCUCUGGGUGAGUGCAGCCAUUGCACGCGUGCUCAGACAGAGUCACCGGAGCACAGGAAGAAAGACUGCGCUCCAGGGCUGCACAUAACAAAGCUGUGGUGGUUAAAAUGCCAACGCAGACUUGGCACUGAUUCUUUUCAGCCUUGUUCUGUCUGUAGGUUGGACCGGUGGUGAUUGCUGAAGAACGAAGAUGGUAGACUGACCUAACCUCUGAGCAGGUGAAAAAAAAAAUCAUUUCCGUAUGUAACAUCAUUGGGUCCGUGUGUUAAAUUAUUGAAGCCUAUAUUGGUUAAUGAUGAGCCGAUGCAAUUGCAUGUGUGUUUACACACUGUUCCUUGUGUCCUGGUGUCAAAGUUGUUGGUGGCGCCUUAUAGGGGCUAGCUAAUCUGGGUAGGCUCUUGGGUGGAUCUGAGUUGUUAUAUAUGACAAAAUCUAUCUAACCUGAUUGUCUCAACCUGCCCCUGUUCUGUACUUUGUCCUUCCUUUCUUUUUUUUCUCGGGGGAAAUAGCUGAAAAAUAGUAGGGAGGUGUGCUACUGUAUGGUUCCUUUUAUUUUAGGUAACAAAUAGUAGCUUCUCAAGUCAUACUUGAACCAGUUUUAGUUAGUCUUACACUCUUACUUCCGUAUUUCUUGAACCAGCAGGACAUGCCCAGAUUACAGCAGUACUGCCUCUGUUCAAAACAGAAAAAACAGGGGUACCAGUGUACAUGCCUUGUAUCAGAACUUGCACCCUUCUUAAAGUUAAUUUCUUGAAACAUUUCACCAGCCGGCCCAGUUUAACUGUUUUACUGAACCCCAAAUCCAUGACCUUCAGUUAUUGUCUGAACAUGAUGGCUGGGUACCAAGUACUAACCAACACACAUGCCAUGGAAUGUAGAUCAUUAGAUCAGGAACCAGGUCCUAGGAAUUCAGCAUCAUGUCUGAACCAGACUUACUAAUGGCACUCUAAAUCUAUUCACCAAGUUGGGGCAUCUCUUGCCGUCCACUUGGCGAGAGGAACAGAGGACAUCAACUGGGAAUUUGAUAGUGUCAGUUGACCUUAACCAUGCCGCUAGCUCUCUCUUGCAUGCAGGGUUGCAGCAGCACAGCACAUGAAGACACCGAACGCGGUUGGGAGCAAAAGGCGCUGCCUUUUCCCCUGUGUUCUUGUCUAUUGCACUUGGAUGCUCGCCGCUGCCGUUUGCAAGGCCUCAGAUGCUGCUGAAGCAAAGGGGAAAAGCCCGUCGUGCUGGGUGUGAUCAGCAUUAUCCACGGUACAGGCCAGCUGCUAGUCUUACCACGUCCUGAUGGUCAGCUUCGCCCAGGCCCAUGGCUGAUGCUUCUUUGCACUGCAUGCAUCUCACUGGUUGGUCAGAGAUGAGAGGCGCGUUGUAGGUCAUACAGGGAAUUCUGGUGGCGUGCGUCCACGGACGCGUACCGUGCGGCACAUUUACGGCAGUUGCGCCAUGCGGCCCUGUUCCCAGGACAGACGGUGCCCGGAAGGACGGGCACGCCAUGGCCUCCCUCACCGAGGCCAUGGAGCAGCGCCAUUGAUGGCCAGGGUUAUCGUUCUUGGAAGGGGUGGUUGCUGGCUGCUGCUGUGCCCUCCCUGUGCAAGCUAGCUGGAGGCCACUACGGCGGCUACAGCUCCUACCACCCCACGGCAGCGUUGCAGGGGUGACGCAGAUGGAGAAGGUGAGACUCGGGCGCCGACGGCAGCAGCGGUAACCCUUGCCAGCCGGGGACCAUGCGCCAGCGCGUGGGUGCGCUAACCUCGAGGACGAAUGCUGUAAUGGCGUGUCCUCGUCCGACCCUCCAUGGGAAAGGAGACCCGAAUUGAAGCAGGCGAGACAAGAGGCAGCAGGCAGGGAUCCGUCGGAGCCCAGCUAGGACCACCGCGCAGGGACGGCCGGAGAUGGCGAAGAUCCAGAAGCUGGGGGCAUGCAGGCAGCUGGCACGGCGGCCCUGCCCAUACACUGUGCAGGCCGCAGCGUGGAUUCUACUUUGUACAGCUGGUGCCUGGACUUACCAGUUUACCACUACACGAUUACAUGUGGUCAACUGGUCAAGGUCAACGGUUCAACACUGCACGACCGUUUCAGACCACCGUCCGGUAGACGCAGAUCGCAGCAAGGUGCAAGGCUACGGCCGGGAUGAAACGCUGGUUCCAGUUACAACGAGUGGUCUGUUACUGUUCUACUCGUGAGAACGGCCACGGCCCUUGCUCUCAACGAGGCUACGCCGCUACGGAGUACACUACACCCAUUGGGCGCCAGAGGUUUCAGACUUCUGGGACGGCGAGGCCGGCCGGUUGGUCGGAAUCCGCAUCUCUGCAGGCAGCAGGCAGCCGGCCGGGGAGGAUCGGCGGUGGCCGCCAAGCGCAACGGGCAGCCCCGGCGCGGUAGCCUUGUCGCUUCCCCUGGCGCGGCGCGGCGCGGCGCGUGGCGUGGCAGUGGCACUGCUCGGUCGCGGCCGCGUCCAAGCGAGGGCGAGACCGGAGCUCGCCGCGCGAUGCGCGCAUGUGACCAGACCGCCGGCGUGCGGCCGGCCGGCCACGGCCACGGCCACGGACGUCAGCUUAGCGUGCGGCCAAAGGCUCGAUCUGCAGCUGGCGCCUGUCUGAACUCGCUGCUAAGCAUGCAGGAGGGAGUAAUCGCUAGAUCUGAGUGUGCCGGUACGAGUGCCGGCGAUGGGUAAACUUUUGUACGGUGCGGCCGUUGAUGUACUGCAAGGGCAUUGUUUAAUUAUCCAGGGCUAGGUACAGUAACUUUUCCUUUUGACCAUGGUAGCGGGACUUGAGGACCAAGAUGCAGUGACUACUUCUGUUCUGGCAA
Molecule: long non-coding RNA, 3464 nt
Organism: Panicum hallii
Lineage: Eukaryota; Viridiplantae; Streptophyta; Magnoliopsida; Poales; Poaceae
Exons: 5
Source: RefSeq, a predicted model, not a curated record